AGAGUUUGAUCAUGGCUCAGGAUAAACGCUGGCGGCGCACAUAAGACAUGCAAGUCGAGCGAAGCGAUUUCGAGGAAGUUUUCGUAUGGAAUUGGAAUUGACUGAGCGGCGGACGGGUGAGUAACGCGUGGGUAACCUGCCUCACACAGGGGGAUAACAGUUAGAAAUGACUGCUAAUACCGCAUAAGGCCACAGCACCGCAUGGUGCAGGGGUAAAAACUCCGCGG
This 227-nucleotide ribosomal RNA is filed under the name uncultured bacterium. RNAcentral's name for it is "partial 16S ribosomal RNA". It matches the Rfam family "Bacterial small subunit ribosomal RNA", at positions 8 to 214 of the family's 1533-position model. The record is from RNAcentral.